CGCGUAGGCGGUGGUAUAAGUCUGAGGUGGAAUCCUACAGCUUAACUAUAGGACUGCCUUGGAAACUGUAUUACUUGAGUCGGACAGGGAAGGCGGAAUUCCUGGUGUAGCGGUGAAAUGCGUAGAUAUCAGGAGGAAGGCCUGUGGUGAAGACGGCCUUCUGGGUCUUGACUGACGCUGAGGCGCGAAAGCGUGGGUAGCAAACAGGAUUAGAUACCCUGGUAGUCCACGCCCUAAACGGUGGGCACUAGGUGUGGGAUCUGUAAGGGUUCCGUGCCGAAGGGAAACCAUUAAGUGCCCCGCCUGGGAAGUACGGCCGCAAGGUUGAA
RNAcentral lists this ribosomal RNA (329 nucleotides) under uncultured bacterium. Its description in RNAcentral is "bacterial SSU rRNA". It matches the Rfam family "Bacterial small subunit ribosomal RNA", at positions 568 to 898 of the family's 1533-position model. The record is from RNAcentral.